RNAcentral lists this non-coding RNA (166 nucleotides) under Lupinus angustifolius (narrow-leaved blue lupine). Its description in RNAcentral is "Eukaryotic large subunit ribosomal RNA". It matches the Rfam family "Eukaryotic large subunit ribosomal RNA", at positions 967 to 1124 of the family's 3401-position model. The record is from Rfam by way of RNAcentral. Lineage: Eukaryota; Viridiplantae; Streptophyta; Magnoliopsida; Fabales; Fabaceae.
UUUCCCUUAGGAUAGCUGGAGCCCAAUGGUGAUUUGUAUCAGGUAAAACCAAUGAUUAGAGGCAUCAGGGGCGCAAUGCCCUCGACCUAUUCUCAAACGUUUAAUAGGUAGGAUGGUGUGGCUGCUUUGUUGUCGAGAUCACAUUUUUUUACGCAAAUGAGUUCUU